This 528-nucleotide ribosomal RNA is filed under the name Anastrepha avispa. RNAcentral describes it as "partial small subunit ribosomal RNA". The stretch from base 396 to 528 matches the Rfam family "Bacterial large subunit ribosomal RNA", at positions 2473 to 2605 of the family's 2925-position model. The record is from RNAcentral. Lineage: Eukaryota; Metazoa; Arthropoda; Insecta; Diptera; Tephritidae.
AAACAUGUCUUUUUGAGUUAAUUUUAAAGUCUAACCUGCCCACUGAAUAAUUUUUAAAUGGCCGCAGUAUUUUGACUGUGCAAAGGUAGCAUAAUCAUUAGUCUUUUAAUUGAAGGCUGGUAUGAAUGGUUGGACGAGGUAUAUACUGUUUCAUAUAAAUUUAUUAUAGAAUUUUAUAUUUUAGUAAAAAAGCUAAAAUUUUAUUAAAAGACGAGAAGACCCUAUAAAUCUUCAUACUUAAUUUUAUAUAAAUUUUUUAGGUUAAUUUUAUUUUUAUAAUAUUAAGUAUUUUGUUGGGGUGAUAUUAAAAUUUAAUUAACUUUUAAUUAUUCAAAAUCAUUAAUUUAUGAUUUAUUGAUCCAAUAGUAUUGAUUAUAAGAUUAAGUUACUUUAGGGAUAACAGCGUAAUUUUUUUUAAGAGUUCAUAUCGAUAAAAAAGUUUGCGACCUCGAUGUUGGAUUAAGGUAUAAUUUUGGGUGUAGCUGUUCAAAUAUUAAGUCUGUUCGACUUUUAAAUCCUUACAUGAUC